This 268-nucleotide long non-coding RNA is filed under the name Elaeis guineensis (African oil palm). Its description in RNAcentral is "long non-coding RNA (EGUI_LNC002448)". The record is from RNAcentral. Lineage: Eukaryota; Viridiplantae; Streptophyta; Magnoliopsida; Arecales; Arecaceae.
UAAAUCAAGUUAAUAAUAUAUUUAUAUAGUUGCAUAUUUUUUUAAAAAAUUAAUAAAUUCUAUAUAAAAUUAUAUACGAUUACAUAUAGAUUUGGAUACAGAUCGGAUAGUUAUCUAUCUAUAUCCAUAUCCUUUUUUUUUUUUACGGAUAUGGAUACAGAUAUGAUUAGCCAGAUUCUUAAAUUUCUAUCCAUAUCCGGAUUAAUUCAGAUAUGAAAAAAAAUCCAGACGGAUAAUAUCUAUACCAUUUUCACUCCUAGUUGGCACU